GUCCACGCCGUAAACGAUGAUUACUAGGUGUUGGUGGGUACGACCCAUCGGUGCCGCAGCAAACGCAAUAAGUAAUCCACCUGGGGAGUACGUUCGCAAGAAUGAAACUCAAAGGAAUUGACGGGGGCCCGCACAAGCGGUGGAGCAUGUGGUUUAAUUCGAUGCAACGCGAAGAACCUUACCUGGCCUUGACAUACUAGAAACUUUCCAGAGAUGGAUUGGUGCCUUCGGGAAUCUAGAUACAGGUGCUGCAUGGCUGUCGU
Molecule: ribosomal RNA, 263 nt
Filed under: uncultured bacterium
Lineage: Bacteria
Description: partial 16S ribosomal RNA
Rfam family: Bacterial small subunit ribosomal RNA
Source: RNAcentral